RNAcentral lists this ribosomal RNA (494 nucleotides) under uncultured bacterium. Its description in RNAcentral is "bacterial SSU rRNA". It matches the Rfam family "Bacterial small subunit ribosomal RNA", at positions 26 to 518 of the family's 1533-position model. The record is from RNAcentral.
AGGACGAACGCUGGCGGCGUGCCUAACACAUGCAAGUCGAACGGAACUAUUUGACUGAUUCCUUCGGGAUGAAGAAUUUUAGUUAGUGGCGGACGGGUGAGUAACGCGUGAGUAACCUGCCUCUGAGAGGGGAAUAACGUUCUGAAAAGAACGCUAAUACCGCAUAACACAUAUUUGCCGCAUGACAGAUAUGUCAAAGAUUUUUAUCGCUCGGAGAUGGACUCGCGUCCGAUUAGUUAGUUGGUGAGGUAACGGCUCACCAAGACCGCGAUCGGUAGCCGGACUGAGAGGUUGAACGGCCACAUUGGGACUGAGACACGGCCCAGACUCCUACGGGAGGCAGCAGUGGGGGAUAUUGCGCAAUGGGGGCAACCCUGACGCCAGCAACGCCGCGUGAAGGAUGAAGGUUUUCGGAUUGUAAACUUCUUUUAUCAGGGACGAACUCUGACGGUACCUGAUGAAUAAGCUCCGGCUAACUACGUGCCAGCAGCCGC